Molecule: non-coding RNA, 121 nt
Organism: Podarcis lilfordi (Lilford's wall lizard)
Lineage: Eukaryota; Metazoa; Chordata; Lepidosauria; Squamata; Lacertidae
Source: the annotation of a GenBank genome assembly
ACCUUAGAGACCAACUAAGUUUGUUAUUGGUAUGAGCUUUUGAGCUUUCGUGUGCAUGCACACUUCUUCAGAUACCACAUGAAAGCUCAUACCAAUAACAAACUUAGUUGGUUUCUAAGGU